Molecule: ribosomal RNA, 25 nt
Filed under: Hemipilia compacta
Lineage: Eukaryota; Viridiplantae; Streptophyta; Magnoliopsida; Asparagales; Orchidaceae
Description: Ponerorchis compacta partial 28S ribosomal RNA
Source: RNAcentral
GCGACCCCAGGAGGGGCGGGGUGAC